AAGGCGGGUUGUUCCGUCGCGGUCGAAAGACUGAGGAAAGUCCGGACAAGAAAGGGCAUCGCACUGCGGAAAGCGCAGGUGGGGGUAACCUUACGCCAGCCGUAACAGAAAGCAACCGCCCAGCAAUGGGUAAGGGUGAAAACGCGAGGUAAGAGCUCACGACUGGCCGUGGCGACACGAUCAGGGUACGGCACUGCGACUUGCAAAACCAAAUAUACUGACAGAUGAGGGCUGCCCGUCCGAUGUCAGGGGGUAGGUUGCGAAGAUAAAUGACGGAUUAAAACAGAAACCGGCUUACUUUCCCGCCUUUCAA
RNAcentral lists this RNase P RNA (313 nucleotides) under Bacteroidales bacterium. RNAcentral's name for it is "RNase P RNA component class A". It matches the Rfam family "Bacterial RNase P class A". Rfam says of the family: Ribonuclease P (RNase P) is a ubiquitous endoribonuclease, found in archaea, bacteria and eukarya as well as chloroplasts and mitochondria. Its best characterised activity is the generation of mature 5'-ends of tRNAs by cleaving the 5'-leader elements of precursor-tRNAs. Lineage: Bacteria; Pseudomonadati; Bacteroidota; Bacteroidia; Bacteroidales. The record is from RNAcentral.